Molecule: non-coding RNA, 29 nt
Filed under: Rattus norvegicus (Norway rat)
Lineage: Eukaryota; Metazoa; Chordata; Mammalia; Rodentia; Muridae
Source: RNAcentral
UUAAAACAUUUUCCUAAGGCUCAAAGAGG